GAAGUCCUGAUGUGUUUGUCGUAUAACCUAUUGUUUUGACCGAACAAUAGUUUAUACGGGAGCCCGGAGUUUUCGUACGUGCGUAAAUGCCUCAUCUUUCGCUAAAAGAGGACUUACAAAAGUCGAAACAGGGUGCCCACCUGCGGAGAGCGGGUUCAAAACUAAGGCAUCGACGGCACGAUUGGGACUUCU
This 192-nucleotide non-coding RNA is filed under the name Ferdinandcohnia sp. QZ13. RNAcentral's name for it is "Fredinandcohnia sp. QZ13 6S RNA". It matches the Rfam family "6S / SsrS RNA". Rfam says of the family: E. coli 6S RNA was the first non coding RNA to be sequenced, but its function was unknown until recently. The record is from RNAcentral. Lineage: Bacteria; Bacillati; Bacillota; Bacilli; Caryophanales; Bacillaceae.